This is a long non-coding RNA of Stegodyphus dumicola, 397 nucleotides long. RefSeq lists it as uncharacterized. The record is from RefSeq and is a predicted model, not a curated record. NCBI's taxonomy places the organism in Eukaryota, Metazoa, Arthropoda, Arachnida, Araneae, Eresidae.
ACAUUCAAGCAUUUAAGAAGAAAGAUUAAACAUCGGAAUUACGUUCUCCUACUUUUUCUAGACUAGUUUUCAAAAUGAAAGUUUGCGUUAUUGUUCUGUUGGCUAUUGUUAUGAGCGUCUUGUUUGUUGCCACAUCAGCUCAGGAUACUAAUCCUUGCCCAUAUAAUCAAAGAGAAUGUUUCGACAGAUGCAGAUUGUUUGGCAGAACUAGUGGAGUGUGCGUUGGCAACAACUGCAUAUGCCAAGGACUAGUCUUUGCCAGAAAAUGACGUGUCAAAGGUCUCCGAAGAGUGAUGUGUCUUUCAAGACUCUUUUUAAAAAAAAAACUCUUAUCAGCAUUAAAAUUGAAAUAUUGCAUCCAAUUUUCAGAAUAGGAAAAAUAAAUGUGUAAAAGAUA